GUGAAGAAAGGAAGUGUGACAGUAGCUA
Molecule: non-coding RNA, 28 nt
Filed under: Cricetulus griseus (Chinese hamster)
Lineage: Eukaryota; Metazoa; Chordata; Mammalia; Rodentia; Cricetidae
Source: RNAcentral